RNAcentral lists this long non-coding RNA (6498 nucleotides) under Homo sapiens (human). RNAcentral's name for it is "HSALNT0311683". The record is from RNAcentral. Lineage: Eukaryota; Metazoa; Chordata; Mammalia; Primates; Hominidae.
AGACGUCGUUUUAUUCCCGUUGCCCAGGCUGGAAUACAAAGGCGUGAUCUCGGCUCACUGCAACCUCCACCUCCCAGGUUCAAGCAAUUCUCCUGCCUCAGUCUCCCGAGUAGCUGGGAUUACAGGCAUGCGCCACCACCCUCGGCCAAUUUUUUGUAUUUUUAGUAGAGACGGGGUUUCUCCAUGUUGGUCAGGCUGGUCUUGAACUCCUGACCUCAAGUGAUCCGCCCGCCUUGGCCUCCCAAAGUACUGGGAUUACAGGCGCGAGCCACCGUGCCCGGCAAGCAUCUGAAUAUCUUAACGUGGACUUAUAAUAAUGGAACAGCAGUUAACCAAAGCAGGGUCUAAGAUGAAAGACUGCCUGAAAUCAUUCCUAAACACAUGCUCAUGUGAGGAUGCCUCACUUACCUGCCAUGUCUGUGAGUACAAACCUGGAGUUUGUUUUUUGGGAUUUUUUUUGGUGGGGGGGAUGGAAUCUCGCUCUGUCACCCAGGCUGGAGUGCAGUGGCACAAUCUCGACUCACUGCAACCUCUGGCUCCCAGGUUCAAGCAAUUCUCCUGCCUCAGCCUCCCGAAUAGCUGGGAUUACAGGUGCCUGCCACCACACCCUGCUAAGUUUUGUAUUGUUAGUAGAGACAGGGUUUUGCCAUGUUGGCCAGGCUAGUCUCGAACUGCUGACUUCAAGUGAUCUCCCGCCUCGGCCUCCCAAAGUGCUGGUAUUAUAGGCAUGAGCCACCACGCCUGGCCUGAGGUUUGUAUUAUGGUGUAAUAUCACAGUGGUCCUUGGGAAAGAGCUCCUCUCUCCCUUGGAAUACAUUUUCUUUUCUUUCUUUUUUUUUUUUUUUUUGAGAUGGAGUCUCACUCUGUCGCCCAGGCUGGAGUCCAAUGGUGCGAUCUCAGCUCACUGCAACCUCCACCUCCAGGACUCAAGCCAUUCUUCUGCCUCAGCCUCCCAGGUAGCUGGGACUACAGGCAUGCACCACCACGCCUGGCUAAUUUUUGUAUUUUUAGUAGAGACAGGGUUUCACCAUGUUGGCCAGGCUGGUCUCAAACUCCUGACCUCAAGUGAUCCACCCAUCUCGGCCUCCCAAAGUGCUGGGAUUACAGGUGUGAGCCACCGUGCCCAGCCUGGAAUACAUUUUCCCAGGUUCUUAAAAUUUAGUCCUUUACAAAUCCAUGAAGAAAGAGGAGGAAUCCAAUGACAAUUUAGAGUUGGGCUCCUUGGUGGAGUGAGGACUGCUUUUUUUCACAAAGUACCCUUAACCUUGGUUAGUUUGGAUCAUCACAGUUUGAACCCUGUCAAGGUAUAAUUUUCAAAAAGUUGAAAACAUGACUCAUACAAAUAUAGUAUGAACAUGUGUCAAGUAUUUAUUAACUUAUUAUAAGGGAACCGAUAAGAUGGUAAGUAAAGCUGGUUCAAAGAGCAUGUUGAAGAACUAAGUAUUCACAGAUAUUUAAGAAGGAAUGGCCAGAUGUGAUGGUUCACACCUGUAAUCCUAGGACUUUGGGAGGCUGAGGCGAGAGGAUCACUUGAGUUCAGUUUGAGACUAGCCUGGGUAACAUGGCAAAACCCCAUCUCUACAAAAAAUACAAAAAAUUAUCUGGGCAUGGUGGUGGGUGACUGUAGUCCCAGCUACUCAGGAGUCUGAGGUGGGAGGAUUGCUUGAGCCCAGGAGGUAAAGGCCGCAGGGAGCCAAGAUGGCACCACUGCACUUCAGCUUAGGCAACAGAGCCAGACUCUAUCUCUUAAAAAAUAAAAGAAGAAGAAGAAGAAGUAAUGUUAUUAGCAGGGAAGAGGUGUUAAAGUACUAGAUUAGAUAUAAAACUGGUUUAUGUCUAAAUCAGUUUAUGUUUAAAUACAUAGGGCAGUAAACUGUUAACCUUUAGGGCUAUCUUUUCUAUUGGAUAACAUGUAGCAUACAACUUCAGAGUCUAAGUUAAUGGAUAAUAAAUAGCAAAGUCAGGUGGGGUGCAGUGGCUCAUGCCUGUAAUCCCAACAUUUUGGGAGGCCAAGGCAGGUAGAUCACCUGAGGUCAGGAGUUCAAGACCAGCCUGGCCAACAUGGUGAAAGCCCGUCUCUGCUAACAAUACAAAAAUUAGCCAGGUGUGGUGGCGCAUGCCUGUAAUCCCAGCUUCUUGAGAGGCUGAGGCAUGAUAAUUGCUUGAAUCUGGGAGGUGGAGGUUGCAGUGAGCCGAGAUGGCACCACUGCACUCCAACAUGGGUGACAGAGCAAGACUGUCUCAAAGAAAAAAAAAACAAGUAAAACAAACAAAAGCACAUUCCCUUAGCCUGGAUAACUAAAUUAUUCUUGGAUGAGACUAUCAUGUCUCUCAAUCUCCAGUAUGACAUUGAAAGUACAUGCCACCUACCUUUUAUCUUGUUCCCACGUUUGAAAUAAUUUUUCUUUUUUUUUUUCUUUGAGACGGAGUUUCACUCUCGUUGCCCAGGCUGAAGUGCAAUGACACACUCUCGGCUCACUACAACCUCCACCUCCUGGGUUCAAGUGAUUCUCCUGCCUCAGCCUCCUGAGUAGUUGGGAUUACAGGCAUGCGCCACCACGCCCGGCUAUUUUGUAUUUUUAGUAGAGAUGGGCGUUCUCCAUGUUGGUCAGGCUGGUCUUGAACUCCCUACCUCAGGUGAUCCACCCGCCUCGGCCUCCCAAAGUGCUGGGAUUACAGGCGUGAGCCACCAUGCCCUGGCUGAAAUAAUUUUUCUUAACACCUUUAUAUUUCUUCAGCCAAGCAUUUGAACCCUCUGCCCCUCACCACUCAUCAGUAUGCCUUUAUAUGUCCCAAUGCCUUCUAUACUUUCCCCCCAUGCAUUUCACACACUUACACCUCAGAAUCAUUGCCCCCCCUGUUCUCCCCUCAACCAAGAACCCUGUGGCUCUUUGCUGAAGUCAAGGUACUACUUUUCCUCAAGGGCAAUAUGGUUGGCACCUCCCCCAUAGAAUCAGUGCUGUAAUGAAUCCAAUCACCCUUGAUCAUUCUUCCAAAUUACUUAAUACCUAUCUUUCUUAGCUUGUGUAAACAAAAGGUGUCUUGGGAUUUCACUAUUUUAUUUACUUGGAAUCUCUCUAGAGACAUCCUGAUGAAAAAGAAAGUCUUCAACUAUUAAGGCAUUUGGCCCUGUUUAAUUGGAUUUGACUGCUUGGGCACACCUGCACAAAAGCUUUCAAAUGAAAUGUGCAUUUUUUUUUUUUGAAACGGAGUCUCACUCUGUUGCCCAGGCUGGAGUGCAGUGGCGCUAUCUUGGCUCACUGCAAGCUCCGCUUCCCGGGUUCACACCAUUCUCCUGCCUCAGCCUCCCAAGUAGCUAGGACUACAGGCACCCGCCACCACGCCCGGCUAAUUUUUUGUAUUUUUAGUAGAGACAGGGUUUCACUGUGUUAGCCAGGAUGGUUUCGAUCUCCUGGCCUCGUGAUCCGCCCGCCUCAGCCUCCCAAAGUGCUGGGAUUACAGGUGUGAGCCACCGCGCCCGGCCUGAAAUGUGCAUUUUUGUUGCAUGGGCCUAAUUUAAAACUGGCCCAAGGGGACAUUUUGUACAAUCGCCGAGAAAUUUGCAAUCUCAGAUUGAGACUUAAAAUUAUUAAAUUCAGCUUUGACUGAAUUUUUGAUGCAAAAAAAAAUCACGAAACCUUAAAUACUGAACCACCAAAGAAGGGUGAUAGACAAUUAACUCUGGCUGUUAGCCUGUGUUACUGUCAUUACAACACUUAAAAACUGUGCUAGGGUAAAUUAAACCUUUUGGGUUUCAGUAAUUAAGAUACCCUGAGAGGAACACAACCUCAUAGAUCUUGGUUUCUUGUGUUGUGUAGUUAAGUGGCCUUACAGGCUGGCUUGUGAUGAUGUCAGAGAAUGGGAUGUGGAGCUUAACUGUUCUUAGCAUUUUGCUAGGCCCUAUGAGGUAGAGGAGGCAUUUUUCCCAAUAUAGAGUCAUGUAGCUUAUAUGUGGUGUGGAAAUAAAUGAAGACCAACCAAAUAAGAACAGGCAAAAGCGAUUUCAUCAGAGCUUGCUAUAGCAAAGGAGUCAGACAUCAUCACAUGUUUUGGCAGAGACUCAAAGUCAGGCAAAGGAGUGGGAAAGCUUUAUGGUGGAAAAAAGGGAAGACUUCAGGUGUGACUCAAUUAGAACCCAUGAGUGGUCUAAUCAGAAGUGGGACAUCCUAUAUGGAUAUUUGGCUUUCUUUCAUUGGUCCUAAAUUGGAAGCAAGGACAAAAAUUACGUAAGCUAUCUGUUAUUAUUCAAGUCCUGGCUGUUUGGGGCUGAUUGUUACAGGGUUGUUGUUUGGCUUCCUGGACUGGUUGCUAAAGAUAGGGGUCUGAUUUCCUUCAAGUCUGACUUAUAGAUAGUAGGCUAGUUACUGUAGAUAAUGGGUUGGUUUCUUGGGCUGGUGGCUGCAGAUUAUGUAUCAGAGUCCUAUUUUUAUAUACGGUCUUGCUAUUGUCCAUUUGCAUAUUCAGUCUCUCUGUGUUAAAACUGCUUGAAUCUGGGGCUUUUUUAAAAAUAAUAGAGGUGGGGUCUUGCUAUGUUGGCCAGAGUGGUCGCAAACUCCUGGCCUCAACAGUCCUCUUGACUCAGCCUCCCAAAAUGCUAGUGUGAGCCACCAUGCCUGGCCUGAAUCCAGGGCUUUUUUAUUCCACAGCUAUGUUCUUUCCACUAUUGAAUGCUAUCAGAUAAUAUCAAGGAAUUAAAUAAAAUAUAAUCAGCUUCUCCCUUUUCUCCUUCAAACACAUCAGCCAACAGCUUUUUUCUUUUCUUUUCCUUUCUUUUUUUUUUUUUUUUUUUGAGAUGGAGUCUUGCUCUGUUGCCCAGGCUGGAGUGCAGUGGCACGAUCUCUGCUCACUGCAACCUCCGCCUCCCGGAUUCAAGCAAUUCUUCUGCCUCAGCCUCCCUAGUAGCUGGGAUUACAGGUGUUCACCACUAUGCCCACCUAAUUUUUGUAUUUUAAGUAGAGACAGGGUUUCACCAUGUUGGCCCAGCUGGUCUCAAACUCUUGACCUCAAGUCAUCCACCUGCUUUGGCCUCCCAAAUUGGUUGGAUUACAGGCAUGAGCCACCAAGCCCAGCCAAGAAAUCAUUUCUAAUUUAGGCACAAUAGGAGGUUGAAUCACAUCUGAUGUAAGGCUUGUGGACUACAGGCAUUUAACUGCUGAGUGAGCUUAGUUACACGUGCAGUAUCCUCCUUUUCGUACAUUUCUGAUGUUCUCUUUUUGCCAUAAAGUAUACAAUUUAGUAGUAUUAAGUACAUUCACAUUGCUAUGCAGCCAUAACCACUAUCCAUUUCCAGAACAUUUUCCUCAUCCCAAACAAGAACUUUGUAUUCAUUACAUGAUAACUCCUCAUUCCCUCCUUUCUCUACCCUUGGCAAACACCAUUCUACUUCUGUCUGACUACUCAUACAGUAUUUGUUCUUUUUGUCUGGCUUAUUUCACUUAGCAUAAUGUUUUCAAGUUUCGUCCAUUUAGUAGCAUGUAUCAGAAUUUCGUUACUUUUUAAGGCUGAACAAGUACUCCAUUGUAUGUAUAUAUUACAUUUUGUUUACCUAUUUAUCUGUUGUUGCAUAUUUGAGUUCUUAAAGUUAAUUACACUAAGUAUUAUAGUUAAGAAGCACCAGUUUUUCUUCUAAUACUAUAUUUGGAAAAAUGGGGAGACAAAAAUAGUACAAGAUAGAGAUGCUCAAUCUGUAGCUUGUGGCGAAAAGAUUCACAAAUAUACAGUAAGUAAUCAGAGAUGGAGGUAACCUAUCAACCAGAAUGUGACAAUGUAAGGAACUUUGGAAUAGGCAGAAAAGAGGACUUGGUGUCUCUAAUAAAAAGCUAUGCAUUUUUAGUGCACACUCUUACAGGUAAUCUAAAUAUAACUCUAUCACUCUAUCAUUGCCUUUGAGCUACUUUACAACUCUGUAAGUUGUAGAUAACUGAUAUUAAUGCAAAAUAAUUCUUGUAUAAACAUGAAAAUAAAUUAUAUUCUGUGAAAAAAAAGUUUGGCUAUUGUGAAUAAUGCUGCUAUGAACAUGGGUGUACAAAUAUCUGUUAGAAUCCGUACUUUUGAUUAUUUGUAUAUAUACCUGGGAGAGGAAUUACUGGACCAUAUGUUAAUUUUUUUUUUCUUACCAUGAGUUUGACUUUUUUUUUUUGAAACCGAGUCUGGCUCUCUUGCCCAGGCUGGAGUGCAAUGGUGCGAUCUCGGCUCACUGCAACCUCUGCCUCCCGGGUUCAAGCGAUUCUCCUGCCUCAGCCUCCCGAGUAGUUGGGACUACAGGCGCGCACUACCACGCCCAGCUAAUUUUUUGUUUUUUUAGUAGAGACAGGGUUUCACCAUUUUGGCCAGGAUGGUUUCGAUCUCUUGACCUUGUGAUCCGCCCGCCUUGGCGUCCCAAAGUGCUGGGAUUACAGGCGUGAGACAUCGCGCCCGGCCACCUAGCUAAUUUUAAAAUCAUUUUUUGGCCAGGCGCGUUGGCCCCCCUCGCCAAUCCCAGCACUUUGGGAGGCUGAG